RNAcentral lists this ribosomal RNA (1391 nucleotides) under metagenome. RNAcentral's name for it is "bacterial LSU rRNA". It matches the Rfam family "Bacterial large subunit ribosomal RNA", at positions 1420 to 2925 of the family's 2925-position model. The record is from RNAcentral.
UGAAAGCUAGUUAAUAUUCUAGCACCUACUAUGCAUUAAAAGUGACGCAAGGACGUGGUGGUUACGAACAGACGGAUGUUCGUUGAGUGGAACCUUCGGGGAAGCGAAAUCAUAAAAUCCUUGCCAAGAAAAGCGAGCAUAGCAGCCAGUACCGGAAUCCGACACAGGUAGACGGGAUGAGUAUUCUAAGGCGCUCGGGUGAGCCGCGGAGAAGGAACUAGGCAAAUUAAUGCUGUAACUUCGGGAUAAAGCAUACCGCAGUGAUGCGGUCACAGUAAAUAGGUACAACCAACUGUUUAACAAAAACACAGGGCCCUGCAAAAACGUAAGUUGACGUAUAGAGCCUGAAACCUGCCCGGUGCUGGAAGGUUAAGGAAGGGUGUUCGGCGCAAGCCAAAGCUCCUGACUGAAGCCCCAGUAAACGGCGGCCGUAACCAUAACGGUCCUAAGGUAGCGAAAUUCCUUGUCGGGUAAGUUCCGACCUGCACGAAUGGUCUAAUGAGUUGUACACUGUCUCCUCCGCGAGCCCGGUGAAAUUGUAGUAUCGGUGAAGAUGCCGGUUACCCGCCACGGGACGGAAAGACCCCGUGAACCUUCACUACAACUUUGCAUUGAUUCUGAACAACCGAUGUGUAGGAUAGUUGGGAGACUUUGAAGUAGCGUCGCCAGGCGUUAUGGAGUCAUCGUUGAAAUACCAACCUUCGUUUGUUUAGAACCUAAUCCCUAACGGGAGACAGUGCAUGGUGGGUAGUUUGACUGGGGUGGUCGCCUCCUAAAAAGUAACGGAGGCUCGCAAAGGUACCCUCAGUACGGUUGGUAAUCGUACGUAGAGCGCAUUAGUAUAAGGGUGCUUGACUGUGAGACAAACAAGUCGAGCAGGAGCGAAAGCUGGCUAAAGUGAUCCGGUGUUUCUGCAUGGAAGGGACAUCGCUCAAAGGAUAAAAGGUACUCCGGGAUAACAGGCUGAUCUUACCCAAGAGCUCAUAUCGACGGUAAGGCUUGGCACCUCGAUGUCGGUUCGUCACAUCCUGGGGCUGGAGAAGGUCCCAAGGGUUCGGCUGUUCGCCGAUUAAAGUGGCACGUGAACUGGGUUCAGAACGUCGCAAGACAGUUCGGUCCCUAUCUGUGGUGGGCGUUAGUAAAUUGAGUGGACAUGUUCUUAGUACGAGAGGACCGGAAUGUACGUACCGCUGGUGUAUCUGUUAUGCCGCCAGGUGUAAUGCAGAGUAGCUAUGUACGGCCAGGAUAAACGCUGAAAGCAUCUAAGCGUGAAACCUUCCACAAGAUGAGUUUACUUUUAAGGGUCGUCAGAGACUAUGACGUUGAUAGGCUACAGAUGUAAGGCUAGUAAUAGCGAAGUCGAGUAGUACUAAUUGCCCGUAAGCUUUAUC